RNAcentral lists this ribosomal RNA (863 nucleotides) under Darkera picea. RNAcentral describes it as "partial large subunit ribosomal RNA". It matches the Rfam family "Eukaryotic large subunit ribosomal RNA", at positions 60 to 940 of the family's 3401-position model. The record is from RNAcentral. Lineage: Eukaryota; Fungi; Ascomycota; Leotiomycetes; Phacidiales; Phacidiaceae.
AGAAACCAACAGGGAUUGCCUCAGUAACGGCGAGUGAAGCGGCAACAGCUCAAAUUUGAAAUCUGGCCCCCUCGGGGCCCGAGUUGUAAUUUGUAGAGGAUGUUUCGGGUGUGGCUCCGGUCUAAGUUCCUUGGAACAGGACGUCAUAGAGGGUGAGAAUCCCGUAUGUGACUGGCAGCCUACGCCCAUGUGAAACUCCUUCGACGAGUCGAGUUGUUUGGGAAUGCAGCUCAAAAUGGGUGGUAAAUUUCAUCUAAAGCUAAAUAUUGGCCAGAGACCGAUAGCGCACAAGUAGAGUGAUCGAAAGAUGAAAAGCACUUUGGAAAGAGAGUUAAACAGUACGUGAAAUUGUUGAAAGGGAAGCGCUUGCAACCAGACUUGCGUGCGGCCGAUCAUCCGGUGUUCUCACCGGUGCACUCGGUCGUGCUCAGGCCAGCAUCGGUUUCGGCGGCUGGAUAAAGGCCAUGGGAAUGUAGCUCCUCUCGGGGAGUGUUAUAGCCCGUGGUGCAAUGCAGCCCGCUGGGACCGAGGACCGCGCUUCGGCUAGGAUGCUGGCGUAAUGGUUGUAAGCGACCCGUCUUGAAACACGGACCAAGGAGUCUAACAUCUAUGCGAGUGUUUGGGUGUCAAACCCAUACGCGGAAUGAAAGUGAACGGAGGUGAGAACCCUUAAGGGUGCAUCAUCGACCGAUCCUGAUGUCUUCGGAUGGAUUUGAGUAAGAGCAUAGCUGUUGGGACCCGAAAGAUGGUGAACUAUGCCUGAAUAGGGUGAAGCCAGAGGAAACUCUGGUGGAGGCUCGCAGCGGUUCUGACGUGCAAAUCGAUCGUCAAAUUUGGGUAUAGGGGCGAAAGACUAAUCGAAC